UACGUAGGGGGCAAGCGUUAUCCGGAUUUACUGGGUGUAAAGGGAGCGUAGACGGCGGUGCAAGCCAGAUGUGAAAGCCCGGGGCUCAACCCCGGGACUGCAUUUGGAACUGUGCUGCUAGAGUGUCGGAGAGGCAGGCGGAAUUCCUAGUGUAGCGGUGAAAUGCGUAGAUAUUAGGAGGAACACUCGUGGCGAAGGCGGGUUCCUGGACAUUAACUGACGCUGAGGCACGAAGGCCAGGGGAGCGAAAGGG
Molecule: ribosomal RNA, 253 nt
Filed under: uncultured Blautia sp.
Lineage: Bacteria; Bacillati; Bacillota; Clostridia; Lachnospirales; Lachnospiraceae
Description: partial 16S ribosomal RNA
Rfam family: Bacterial small subunit ribosomal RNA
Source: RNAcentral